Molecule: transfer RNA, 71 nt
Filed under: Rhodospirillaceae bacterium
Lineage: Bacteria; Pseudomonadati; Pseudomonadota; Alphaproteobacteria; Rhodospirillales; Rhodospirillaceae
Description: tRNA-OTHER
Source: RNAcentral
UGAGGGGGAGGUGGCCUCGGGCGGGGCUCAUAACCCCGCCGCUGUCGGUUCGAUUCCGGCCCCCUCGACCA